Molecule: long non-coding RNA, 1909 nt
Filed under: Anas platyrhynchos platyrhynchos (common mallard)
Lineage: Eukaryota; Metazoa; Chordata; Aves; Anseriformes; Anatidae
Description: lncRNA (ENSAPLG00000020339.1)
Source: RNAcentral
GAACUGAGAACAGCUGAUGUUGAACUGGUUGCUAAGAAGGUGUCAUGUAGCAUAUUGGCUUAUAUAAACUCUUUGUGGUGAUUACAAAAUAGCUUCUUAUCUCUGUGGAUGUGCAACUCCUGAAACAUAAAGCUUGAGGACACAUGUACUAACUUAAUGUUUGUUGAAGACUUCUUGUCAAUUUUAUUAAGCUAUACUCAACCAAAAGAUGUACCCAGGUCCUAGGUCACUGACUGUUCAUGGUAUGCUGAUAGCUUCAAGACAUGACUGGUCAGGGAGCUAGAUAUUCUCAUCUAGGCACCCUUUUCCAUGAAAGGUUGAACCAGAUUAUCUUUUCAGACCCAUUCCAUCUGGGACUGUUCUGUGAUUCAUAGCAGCCCCCUAGGAAAUGAGGAAAGCUAUGAGAAACAGUCUCGAUUUCUACUGAGAUGUGGGCAUCAAUAGUUAGGGUUCCAGCAAGGGAAAUCUACUGAGCAGUUUAUAUCUAGACCACACUUUACCAUUCAAGUAGCCAAAUUCUAAAUGACAAAAAGUUUCCCGUUGUUUUUUCUCUUACAUUAAUGAAGAUACAGAAGAAUAGCUGCAGUGCUGCUUCAGCUCUUCUGGCUAGGUAACUAUGGUGAAGGUGUCUGUCCCCAUUAAGGAACAGGAUUUACACACAGAUUAAAAUUUACUUAAAAUCAGUACCUCAUGUCCCUCCACCAGGUAUGGAGCUACCACUCUUCUAUACAAAGGCAGACAUCACUACACAGGAGAGCUGCACAGAGAGUGUGUCUGGGAGUAAGCACCCUCCUCAUGGACCUCAGGAACCAGCAUACAGAUACUGCUGCAACACAAAUGUCUGUGCAGAGCAUCUCCAAGGACAGCUAUGAGCAGGUAACCAAUCUUUGCUAUGGUGUUUUAUUUUAAGAUGGUGCGAUGUUGUCCUUUUAUCACACAAGGUGCCUGUAAACAGUGAGAUUACAGUUUUUAUAGUUGUGGUUAACAGGCCAUCCUGUGCUGCUGAGAAAUGCUGGUUAAAACUCAAUUUGAUGGAGUAGGUUUUAACAUAGGCUCCUCUUAGUUAUACUGAAUUGUGUGCAGCAAUCUUUUGAUAUUUCAGAUUAAUUGAGGUUUAAGAAGAGGUUGUUGUUAACUGAUGAAUAAUUGCUUUUCCAGACCACACAGUUAGAACUUUAAUUUAUUGGGGGUGAUAAAAUCAUGUACCAUUUGAGGUGUCUACUUUCUACUCAGGGUGUCGGUGUCACCAAAUCUCUUCUUCCAUAUUCCUUUGUUGUAACUUUUUUUCAGGAUAUGUCUUUACCUGAAAGAAACACUACUGAAGAUACUCCUAAAAAUACGUUAUUCUUGGGUUUCGGUCUCAUUUUUAUUUGUGAAUUCUUAAUUUAAAAACAAAACAAACAACAACAAAAACAAAGCCUGAAACUACUAGUGGUAUUAAACUAUUUUCAAAUGAGAGUACUAGAAGAGAGGGUGACAAACAAACUCUAAAGGAGUGUGGCUGAAUUGAUAUGCUAUAGACUUACAUGUUGUACCGAGUUUUGAAGAUGGUGAUGGCUUUCCUUGCAAUCAGUUUUUAUACCUUUUUUCGUGCAUUCAGUAAACAUGAGUAUAGACAGUGGGACACUUUCAACAGACUUUAAUAUCAUUAGAUCUAAAUAGUAAGGAGCAGGGUAAAAAAGUGGAAAAAUAUGUUGUGAAUGAGGGAUAUAAAAGACUUCCUUGGCUCCCACCAUGGUAAGAACUGCUGUGGUGGAUCAGACCUGAAGAUCCACAUAGACUCAUAAGUAGCAGCUGUUCUGCUUCAGGCUGACUGGACAAAGAGAGAGGGAUCAGUCUGCUGGUAUGUUUUCCCAACUUAUACACAUCAAUGAUAUAAGGACCAAUGAUUCUCUAGUAUAUGUUAAUG